Chrysemys picta bellii (western painted turtle) is the source of this 901-nucleotide non-coding RNA. The record is from RefSeq and is a predicted model, not a curated record. Lineage: Eukaryota; Metazoa; Chordata; Testudines; Emydidae.
UGAGAGCCAAUCAGGGCCGAGAUUAGAGCUAGCCAAUCAGGGCUAGGCUAGGCCCUAUAUAAUGGCUGCCCAGGAGAGCAGCAGGUAGUCUGUCCCAGAAUUUCAUGGGGGAAGGUCUGUCUCCAGAACAGGAGACCAGCAUCUCGGGCUGGGCAGUACUGCAUCUGGCCAUCUGGUGGCAGAGACAAAUUGUAACCGGCCCUUGAGACAAGGGGCUAGACUUUGGGGGUUGCGGUUGGCCACCGAGGCAGGUGCAAGGACUGUUGCUAACCCCCGCCCCUGGAAUGGGGUGAGGAUGGACUAGUGGACACUGCUGGAGGCAGUGAGCAACGCGGCUCCAGAUGCCAACAGAGGACAAGAGAUGGAUGGGAUGCUGCCAGCAGAGGGCGAUCCCCAGGGACUGAGCUAAUUCCCAGAGCGACCAGCGGGAGGCGCCAUGCUGGAAUAGGAGCCUCCUUCCAGCUGUCUUCCAGGCCCUGGGAUCUGGCACAGCCACCCAGACGGGCGCUUCCUGUAGCUGAGCCACGUCAGGGAGCAGUGGGGACAGGUCACCUCGUCCCAGCAAUGCCGGCUCUCAAAGAGGCUUAGAUGGAAGACCCCAGUCCCUCAUGGAGAGGCGGUGUCCAGGAUCCUGGAGACGGUUUCCUGCUGCAGGAGGUUUGAGCGGGGAGAGAUCACUCACUGUCACGACCCAGGGGUCUCCAACCCGGGUCUGCAGGGUUCAUGGGAGCAGCCACACUCCAACCCUCCACCUGGAAGCCUGCUGAAAAUUGCUUACCUCGGACCCAUGAAGUUCAGCCCCAGUUUGAGGCUCCACUCCUGAGGUCCUAUUGGAGGAGUCCGAGGAAAGCUCACUGGCUCCCUGGCCCUGCGUAAGACAGCAGCAGGAACACGAAGCUGA